Sciurus carolinensis (gray squirrel) is the source of this 921-nucleotide long non-coding RNA. RefSeq lists it as uncharacterized. The transcript has 3 exons. NCBI's taxonomy places the organism in Eukaryota, Metazoa, Chordata, Mammalia, Rodentia, Sciuridae. The record is from RefSeq and is a predicted model, not a curated record.
AAGUGUUCUCUCCUUCUAAGUCAAGCAUAUAAAGAAGUACACAGCAUAAUAAUAACCACAUUUCGACAUACUGAAGACUCAAAGGACAUGGUGACACAGACCUUCAGUACAAGUUCUGCAGUGUCGUCACAUGACUGGUGGAAAAUAAGGUCAUUCUUCCUUCUGCAGUACCAAACGCUGUUGCUUUUUCCAGUGAGGACUAGUUCUCACAAUGGAGAAUAAGUUCUCAACAAUCCUUAAUGAGAUCAAAGAAGAACCCAAACAUUUUAGAUUGCUCCAUCUACUUGUAAACGCACAGACCACAGCAGCUGAAAGGCAUUCUGCAAGUACAUCUCCCAGCAGGCCCUCCACUGCACAAUGAACAAACAUGACAACAGAAGUCGAUUCCAAUCACAAGCCAAAAACUGGGCUACUUUACCUUUUGAUUAAAAUAGGAUCAACAAGGAGAAUAUAAACUUUACAUCAUUUAUAGUUUACUGCCUAUCUUCCAUUAAAAUGUCCAUACUGAGGGGGAAAAAAAAUCCCACAAAUGAAACUUUAAACAAUUUCUUAGGAAACAGGUCCAUAUGAAGUCAAUGUUAUUUUAUUUGGCAAUUUUGAGAUAUGGGAAACCCAUGUUUUUCUUUCUCUUUGUAGACACACCCAAUUCCCAGAAAGAUGUUUUCUUUCUUACAAUAGUCAGCUGCAUUUCUUUUGAACAAAAAACUCUGAAAGGGAGGCAUGUCGUAAUAAAAACAGCACUGAACAGAAAGUGCUUCAGCAUUAUCAUGUUCUUAUGUAGAAUGAAUAUAGUCAAGAUGACUUUCUUCUAUAAAUUCGAGAACAAUAUAAUCAAUGUCAUAUGUUCAAAUUUAAGAAUCUAAAAAUGCUAAAACAACCAAAUGUCACUUUUAAGGAAGGCAUCCUAAACAUAAAUUCAAG